UUGACUCUGACAGACUUCAGAUAUUUGAAGACAGUCAAUACUUGCUCCUUUAGUAUUUUGUCCCCUAUAUAUAUAUCAGCAGUUUUUUCCAACAGUUCUCAGAUGAGAAGAUUUUCAGUGCUCUACCCAUCCUGAAAGCUCCCCUCAAGACGUAUCCUGGUAUAUUAAUGCCUCUGUAAAGACUGUCCAGAAUUGCCUACUAUGUUUUCAGAGUGGUUCAAUCUAGCUGGUCAGGACAGGAGGGACCAUUUCAUGCCGGAUUCCUCAUCUUUAUUACCUAACGCUGGCUCGGCACAUAAUUCUGGGAUUCAUGCAGCUUUGCCUUGUUGAGAUUAAAUUUGCAGGCUUACUUUCAUCUUCGGAUCAAGCCAAGACAGGCAUGCGGCUACUAGUAACAAAUCACCAAAUAUCAAAGCCUAGCGCAACAAAAACUAAUUUAUGCUCUUGUGAAAUCCGAGGGAGACUGAUGAAGGCCACGUAUAACUCACUAGUGUGUUCUGUUAACUACUUUUUUUCAUGUAAUCUUUCUCUCACACAGGCUAAGAUAAUUAAAUCGUGACUUAAACUUUGGCAUGUGUAUUGUACCUUCAAGAGAGAGGAAUUAUGGUUUCCCCCUUCAACUUUGCUGUUA
Canis lupus familiaris (dog) is the source of this 631-nucleotide long non-coding RNA. RefSeq lists it as uncharacterized. The record is from RefSeq and is a predicted model, not a curated record. NCBI's taxonomy places the organism in Eukaryota, Metazoa, Chordata, Mammalia, Carnivora, Canidae. The transcript is spliced from 4 exons.